Lycium barbarum (goji berry) is the source of this 2998-nucleotide long non-coding RNA. RefSeq lists it as uncharacterized. The transcript is spliced from 4 exons. The record is from RefSeq and is a predicted model, not a curated record. Lineage: Eukaryota; Viridiplantae; Streptophyta; Magnoliopsida; Solanales; Solanaceae.
AGGACUAUAUUUCUACAGGUGGUUAAGUGGAUAAGUAAAUUGUAGAAAUUAAGGGGAAUAUUAUUUACACAUAUAUAUAUAAGGCAUGAGGAGAGAGUAUUUAUUUUAUUUUAUUUUAUUUGGCUAAUAUGCUAAUGGAUUGGUGGACUAAAAUGCAUUGGUUGGUUAUUAAAUAAAAGGUAAAAGAAGUGGGCCAAUCUACUAUUUGGACUUACGGAGGGAGUAAUAAAUUUGUUAGGUAGGUAGGUAUUAAUGAUGAAGAUAAAGGAAAGUCACAAUUAGUUAGUGCAUGUACUUAUUAUUAAGUUGAAAACAUAUUAAUUAGUGGAAGUACAGAGGGAUAAUUUCAUGUUUCCUUUUCAACAAGGCAAUGAUAAUGAUAACCUCCAGCUCCUUUAACUGCCAACAAACACCAAUUCUUCUUCUUUUCUAAAUUAUCAAGACACCACCCAUGUCCAAGAUCUUAUUACGGAUCUUGCUCCAUUCGAUUCAUUAUUGGAAGUGGACACAAAUUACUUUAACUUGAACAACACCAGAAAUAUCAAGAGGAAGAGCAAAAACAUUCCAAAAAGAAUUCUAGGAACUCAACUGUGCAAAUUUUAAUCGUUCAGAGGCUCUACGCAAAGGGAAGGCAUUAGUUUGAUUGUUCGUGGCACUCGUUCGGCAUUGAGAGUACGAUCCAGGUUCCAGUUCUACACCCCGUGGCUGAUACGCGAGGGUGACAUCUUCAGUCAUUCAGGUAAUGUGGUUCGCCUACUCGGAGGGAUAGUGUAGGUGCCACCACGACUCGCGAAUUGGGUCGUGACAAAGCAGUCCUUAUAAAAUCUAUCCUCCAUGCUAUGCCACUUCACCUCUUGGCUGUGAUUCAACCUACUAAAACUAACCUGGAUCAAAUAGAUAAGAUUGUGGCCAAUUUCUUUUGGGGUAGAGAUCAAAACAAGAACAAGAGGCAUUGGAAUUCUUGGAAUGACCUAUGUUUUCCUGUCAAUGAAAAAGGAGCUGGGUUCAUAUCUCUAAAAGACAUUUGUAGUACUUUCUCUACAACGCUUUGGUGGAAUUUAAGGACUCAAAAUACUUUGCUUAAGGAUUUUCUUCUAGCAAAGUACUGCAAAAGAUCACAUCUAGUUGACAAAAUAUGGGGUCAUGGCCAAUCACAUGUAUGGAGAAGACUCAUGAACAUUAAGAGUGAAGCUGAACCACAUACUUUCUGGAAGAUUGGAAAAGGUGAUGAAUUCCUUUGGUGGGAUAACUGGUCAGGAUUGGGAGCAAUUGCUUCUAUACUUCAGGUGGGAAGAGCUUCAAAGAUCACAAAAGUUAGUGAAUUCAUGAAUGGUGGCUUGUGGAAUCUUGACAAGUUUCCGCAAGUUCUUCCACUAGAUAUGGUUCACACUAUAAAAAAGUUGGAUAUUGAUGUAAAUAAGGCAGGUUAGCAGAUUAACCCUAUUGGCUUCUUGAAGACUAAGGGAAUUUCACUUGUAAAUCAGCCUAGCAAUUGGUGAGACAGAAACAGUGCACUAGUCUUUCUAGUUAGAAGAUUUGGCACAAAAGGAUUCUCUUCAGGAUUUCCUUUUUCAUAUUUAGACUACUCCAAAGCAAAAUACCAACAGAUGAUAUUCUUAAAUUUAUUGGAGUGGUUAUACCCUCUAGAUGCUCAUGUUGUACCAUCUAUAAGGAGGAAACUAUUGAUCAUCUUUUCAAUAAGAGCUUGAUUUCUGAAAAGGUAUGGACUUAUUUUUGUAAGUAUAGUAAUAUCUCUUAUAGAAGUCAAAACAUAAGACUUAAACUUAUGAAUCGGUGGAUGGCUAAAACUAGUAAUAAUGUUCAUUCUACCAUGAUUCAAUGUCUUUCUAUUAUCAUUUGUUGGGAAAUAUGGAAGAACAUAUGUUCUGCCAGGUUUGAGAACUUCAAAAUGUCCAAUUGGCAUAUUAUCCAGCUAGUGAUUAAAUUUAUGAAUCUUAUCUUAAAUGUCCAAUUCCCAAAACUUUUGCUUCCACAUUUGUGGAUAGACAAAUGUAGAACAAUUGAGGGCCUAAAACCUCUUAUUCACUCUAAGGCUAUCAGGUGUAAAAAAACCUGAUCUUGGAUGUUUAAGCUAAAUGUGGAUGGUUGUAGGAAAGGCAAUCCUGAAGAAACUGGCGGAGGAGGUAUUAUUAGAAGUCAUAGGGGUCCUGUGGUUAAGUCUUUCUCAGACUAUUAUGGCCUCUGUACCAAUAAUGUUGCUGAAGCUAAAGCAGUUUUGCAGGGUUGCAGCAUAUGCUAUAGCUUGGGAUUUUAGAAUUUUAUUGUGGUAUCUGAUUCCAUGCUUAUUGUGAAUAUGCUCAACAAGUCUUGUCAACCUCACUCGCAAAUCUGGCAUAUUCUAGUUCAUAUAUGGGAGAUCUCAAAUUCCAGAAAUUUUCUUUUUGUACAUACUUUUAGAGAGGGCAAUGACAUUGCUGAUCACUUUGCCAAUCUAGGAGUACAUAACAAAUUUCUUACUAUCUUCAAUGAAGCUGUUUCCCUUCCUAAUCGGGUUAGAGUUUCAAGAUGGUAUGACCAAAGAAGAACCACUUUUGCAUCAAUGAUGGUAUCACCUGAUCAUUUCGAUUUAUUGCUUGUAGCUGCAUAUCUGUAUGUAGUAGUAAUUUUCAUUCCAAAAAAUUCAACUUUGUAUAGGGUGGAGUCCCUCAAUCUUUUGUACAUGUACUAUAGGCUGAUAGCUAUUAGAUUGGAUUCCUUCAAUCUACAUCAUCUAAGUGAUGCUAAGGUUUAUGUCCUCCUCUGUGUAAUUAUCCUUUUUGGAAUGAACAGGUUGGAGUCUUGCCUAACUCGUCCAUCAAUAUGAUGGAACUUUGAUAUAAAAAAAAAAAAAAAAAUUAGUUUGUCAUUCAGUGUGUAUUUCCAGUUGUUGGUCUCCAGUUUUAUACAAUUCAGAAGCUUCCCAGUGUGUCCAAGUUGCACCAAAUGGCAUAAGUAACACUAUAUAUGUUCAUGAGGCUGUUGGAAUGCAAGUGAAUCA